Molecule: ribosomal RNA, 380 nt
Filed under: uncultured euryarchaeote
Lineage: Archaea; Methanobacteriati; Methanobacteriota
Description: bacterial SSU rRNA
Rfam family: Archaeal small subunit ribosomal RNA
Source: RNAcentral
UAACACCGGCACCUCGAGUGGUAGCCGCUAUUAUUGGGCCUAAAGCGUUCGUAGCCGGUUUGGUAAAUUCUUGGGUAAAUCGUACCGCUUAACGGUGCGGAUUCCGGGGACACUACCAGACUUGAGACCGGGGGAGAUCAGAGGUACUUGUGGGGGAGCGGUGAAAUGUUGUAAUCCCACAGGGACCACCAGUGGCGAAGGCGUCUGAUCAGAACGGCUCUGACGGUGAGGAACGAAACCCUGGGGCGCAAACGGGAUUAGAUACCCCGGUAGUCCAGGGCGUAAACGCUGCUGACUUGGUGUUGGGGAUCCUACGAGGAUGUCCAGUGCUGGCGCGAAGGUAUUAAGUCAGCCGCCUGGGGAGUACGGUCGCAAGACUG